GACGAACGCUGGCGGCGUGCUUAACACAUGCAAGUCGAACGGAAAGGCCCUGCUUUUGUGGGGUGCUCGAGUGGCGAACGGGUGAGUAACACGUGAGUAACCUGCCCGUGACUUUGGGAUAACUUCAGGAAACUGGGGCUAAUACCGGAUAGGAGCUCCUGCUGCAUGGUGGGGGUUGGAAAGUUUCGGCGGUUGGGGAUGGACUCGCGCCUUAUCAGCUUGUUGGUGGGGUAGUGGCUUACCAAGGCUUUGACGGGUAGCCGGCCUGAGAGGGUGACCGGCCACAUUGGGACUGAGAUACGGCCCAGACUCCUACGGGAGGCAGCAGUGGGGAAUAUUGCACAAUGGGCGGAAGCCUGAUGCAGCAACGCCGCGUGCGGGAUGACGGCCUUCGGGUUGUAAACCGCUUUCGCCUGUGACGAAGCGUGAGUGACGGUAAUGGGUAAAGAAGCACCGGCUAACUACGUG
Molecule: ribosomal RNA, 468 nt
Filed under: uncultured bacterium
Lineage: Bacteria
Description: partial 16S ribosomal RNA
Rfam family: Bacterial small subunit ribosomal RNA
Source: RNAcentral